Molecule: ribosomal RNA, 425 nt
Filed under: uncultured bacterium
Lineage: Bacteria
Description: partial 16S ribosomal RNA
Rfam family: Bacterial small subunit ribosomal RNA
Source: RNAcentral
GUGGGGAAUCUUGCGCAAUGGGCGAAAGCCUGACGCAGCCAUGCCGCGUGAAUGAUGAAGGUCUUAGGAUUGUAAAAUUCUUUCACCGGGGACGAUAAUGACGGUACCCGGAGAAGAAGCUCCGGCUAACUUCGUGCCAGCAGCCGCGGUAAUACGAAGGGGGCUAGCGUUGCUCUGAAUUACUGGGCGUAAAGGGCGCGUAGGCGGACAGCUUAGUCAGAGGUGAAAGCCCAGGGCUCAACCUUGGAAUUGCCUUUGAUACUGGCUGUCUUGAGUUUGGGAGAGGUGAGUGGAACUCCGAGUGUAGAGGUGAAAUUCGUAGAUAUUCGGAAGAACACCAGUGGCGAAGGCGACUCACUGGCCCAAUACUGACGCUGAGGCGCGAAAGCGUGGGGAGCAAACAGGAUUAGAAACCCGGGUAGUCC